RNAcentral lists this ribosomal RNA (320 nucleotides) under uncultured eukaryote. Its description in RNAcentral is "partial 18S ribosomal RNA". It matches the Rfam family "Eukaryotic small subunit ribosomal RNA", at positions 1470 to 1796 of the family's 1831-position model. The record is from RNAcentral.
CCCCUAGAUGUUCUGGGCCGCACGCGCGCUACACUGAACAGUUCAACAAGUCUUAACCUUGGCCGAUAGGUCUGGGUAAUCUUUGAACGCUGUUCGUGAUUGGGAUAGACCUUUGCAAUUAUGGGUCUUCAACGAGGAAUUCCUAGUAAACGCAAGUCAUCAGCUUGCAUUGAUUACGUCCCUGCCCUUUGUACACACCGCCCGUCGCACCUACCGAUUGAUUGGUCCGGUGAAAUCUCGGGACGGCGGCUUGGUCGCUUGCGUCCGACUGCUGAAACUUGAUUAAACCAUAUCAUUUAGAGGAAGGUGAAGUCGUAACA